UACGUAGGCAGCGAGCGUUGUUCGGAAUUACUGGGCGUAAAGAGUGUGUAGGCGGUGCUCUAAGUUCGGUGUGAAAUCUCCUGGCUCAACUGGGAGGGUGCGCCGGAAACCGGAGUGCUUGAGCGUGGGAGAGGAAAGCGGAAUUCCUGGUGUAGCGGUGAAAUGCGUAGAUAUCAGGAGGAACACCUGUGGUGUAGACGGCUUUCUGGACCAUAGCUGACGCUGAGACACGAAAGCGUGGGUAGCAAACAGG
RNAcentral lists this ribosomal RNA (253 nucleotides) under uncultured bacterium. RNAcentral's name for it is "partial 16S ribosomal RNA". It matches the Rfam family "Bacterial small subunit ribosomal RNA", at positions 524 to 776 of the family's 1533-position model. The record is from RNAcentral.